GGUCCUCUUUUAUGGCAGACAAUUGAGGCUUCAGUUGGCAAGUUAGUAGGCACGAUCCCGCACGAUUAGGACGUGAUUCGUUGGGUAUGAGAUUGUCACUCGAUAUUUUCAAGAUGUGGCACUUGCGGUUGCCUUAUCAGUCUAGCAAUAGUUGUUGCCUGGUGGGUGCUACGUUUUAAGUAAAAUCGCCAAUCUGAGUACUGUAGAGGCAAGGGCUAGUCGAUGACAACUAGUGGUCGGUCGCUUUAUGCCGCAGAUAGGAUGGGUUCAAUGAUGCCUGAGUGAUUAGCUCCAGUCAGAUGGUUGCGGAGGAUUGUUUGGCAAAGACAACAACUGACCUUAGAUCAAUAGGAAAAGCAGUGGCCGAUCUUGAGUCAGCGAAGUCUCCAGUUGAUAAGCCAGCUGGAUGCAAUCAUUUUGAGCUCUGAGCCUUUUCAUAAAUUCAGUCCGUAUAAAAUUUUUUCCAAUACAUGUCUCCUUACUUUCGAGUCUUCUUUCAGUCAGGAGAAAGGAGUACACCUGUC
This 524-nucleotide long non-coding RNA is filed under the name Elaeis guineensis (African oil palm). RNAcentral describes it as "long non-coding RNA (EGUI_LNC016398)". Lineage: Eukaryota; Viridiplantae; Streptophyta; Magnoliopsida; Arecales; Arecaceae. The record is from RNAcentral.